This 419-nucleotide ribosomal RNA is filed under the name uncultured bacterium. Its description in RNAcentral is "bacterial SSU rRNA". It matches the Rfam family "Bacterial small subunit ribosomal RNA", at positions 340 to 755 of the family's 1533-position model. The record is from RNAcentral.
UACGGAAGGCACAGGGGGAAUAUUGCACAAUGGGCGCAAGCCUGAUGCAGCCAUGCCGCGUGUAUGAAAAAGGCCUUCGGGUUGUAAAGUACUUUCAGUCGUGAGGAAGGUGUUAAGGUUAAUAACCUUAGCAAUUGACGUUAGCGACAGAAGAAGCACCGGCUAACUCCGUGCCAGCAGCCGCGGUAAUACGGAGGGUGCGAGCGUUAAUCGGAAUUACUGGGCGUAAAGGGCACGCAGGCGGUUAAUUAAGUUGGAUGUGAAAUCCCCGGGCUUAACCUGGGAAUGGCAUUCAAGACUGGUUAGCUAGAGUCUUGUAGAGGGGGUAGAAUUCCAUGUGUAGCGGUGAAAUGCGUAGAGAUGUGGAGGAAUACCGGUGGCGAAGGCGGCCCCUGGACAAAGACUGACGCUCAUGUGCG